UGGGGAAUAUUGCACAAUGGGGGAAACCCUGAUGCAGCGACGCCGCGUGAAGGAAGAAGUAUCUCGGUAUGUAAACUUCUAUCAGCAGGGAAGAUAAUGACGGUACCUGACUAAGAGGCCCCGGCUAACUACGUGCCAGCAGCCGCGGUAAUACGUAGGGGGCAAGCGUUAUCCGGAUUUACUGGGUGUAAAGGGAGCGUAGGCGGCGGAGCAAGUCAGAAGUGAAAGCCCGGGGCUCAACCCCGGGACGGCUUUUGAAACUGCCCUGCUUGAUUUCAGGAGAGGUAAGCGGAAUUCCUAGUGUAGCGGUGAAAUGCGUAGAUAUUAGGAGGAACACCAGUGGCGAAGGCGGCUUACUGGACUGACAAUGACGCUGAGGCUCGAAAGCGUGGGGAGCAAACAGG
This 404-nucleotide ribosomal RNA is filed under the name Coprococcus sp. Its description in RNAcentral is "bacterial SSU rRNA". It matches the Rfam family "Bacterial small subunit ribosomal RNA", at positions 355 to 776 of the family's 1533-position model. The record is from RNAcentral. Lineage: Bacteria; Bacillati; Bacillota; Clostridia; Lachnospirales; Lachnospiraceae.